Molecule: ribosomal RNA, 484 nt
Filed under: uncultured bacterium
Lineage: Bacteria
Description: partial 16S ribosomal RNA
Rfam family: Bacterial small subunit ribosomal RNA
Source: RNAcentral
AUUGAACGCUGGCGGCAGGCCUAACACAUGCAAGUCGAGCGGAUGAAGGGAGCUUGCUCCUGGAUUCAGCGGCGGACGGGUGAGUAAUGCCUAGGAAUCUGCCUGGUAGUGGGGGAUAACGUCCGGAAACGGGCGCUAAUACCGCAUACGUCCUGAGGGAGAAAGCGGGGGAUCUUCGGACCUCACGCUAUCAGAUGAGCCUAGGUCGGAUUAGCUAGUUGGUGGGGUAAAGGCCUACCAAGGCGACGAUCCGUAACUGGUCUGAGAGGAUGAUCAGUCACACUGGAACUGAGACACGGUCCAGACUCCUACGGGAGGCAGCAGUGGGGAAUAUUGGACAAUGGGCGAAAGCCUGAUCCAGCCAUGCCGCGUGUGUGAAGAAGGUCUUCGGAUUGUAAAGCACUUUAAGUUGGGAGGAAGGGCAGUAAGUUAAUACCUUGCUGUUUUGACGCUACCAACAGAAUAAGCACCGGCUAACUUCGUG